Non-coding RNA from Echinostoma caproni, 82 nucleotides. NCBI's taxonomy places the organism in Eukaryota, Metazoa, Platyhelminthes, Trematoda, Plagiorchiida, Echinostomatidae. The record is from Rfam.
GGCCUCGUCGCUCAGCUGGUAGAGCAUGCACGUGCAAAGCGUAGGCGACGUCCAUGCGUGGGUUCGAAUCCCACCGAGGCUA